Molecule: non-coding RNA, 489 nt
Organism: Podarcis muralis (Common wall lizard)
Lineage: Eukaryota; Metazoa; Chordata; Lepidosauria; Squamata; Lacertidae
Source: RefSeq, a predicted model, not a curated record
GUGUUCAGGUGUUACAUCGCCGGAGAGCCCAACAAGGAGGGGCACAAGGUGACCUGCCUGCCUUGGAACGAUGAACCUCUGGCGCCCGAGACCAACCUUAUGAAAGAAGAGCUGGCCAAGGUGAACAGGAGAGGGAUCCUGACCAUCAAUUCCCAGCCGAACAUCAACGGCAAGCCCUCCACCGACCCGAUUGUGGGCUGGGGUCCCGACGGAGGCUACGUCUUCCAAAAGGCUUACCUGGAGUUCUUCACCUCCAGCGAGAACGUCAGAGCCCUCCGAAGAACUACGGCCAGCGAGUGAAUUACCACAUUGUCAAUGUCAAGGUGCGUCCUUCCUCAGUGCCAGAUUACCAAACAGACAGACUGGGCACUGGCCUACGAGCCUAGGGGCCCCUCAACAACGGAUCAAAAUAAUAUUGAUUGGCAUGGUUGGCCAAUUGGUGUCAAGGAAGGACAGGAUGUUUUUUAUGUAUGCUACCACAGCAGCAAG